GAUAUGUGUCACACUUUCACGUGA
This 24-nucleotide non-coding RNA is filed under the name Arabidopsis thaliana (thale cress). Lineage: Eukaryota; Viridiplantae; Streptophyta; Magnoliopsida; Brassicales; Brassicaceae. The record is from RNAcentral.